GAGAGCUUGCUCUCAAGAAGUUAGCGGCGGACGGGUGAGUAACACGUGGGUAACCUGCCCAUAAGACUGGGAUAACUCCGGGAAACCGGGGCUAAUACCGGAUAACAUUUUGAACUGCAUGGUUCGAAAUUGAAAGGCGGCUUCGGCUGUCACUUAUGGAUGGACCCGCGUCGCAUUAGCUAGUUGGUGAGGUAACGGCUCACCAAGGCAACGAUGCGUAGCCGACCUGAGAGGGUGAUCGGCCACACUGGGACUGAGACACGGCCCAGACUCCUACGGGAGGCAGCAGUAGGGAAUCUUCCGCAAUGGACGAAAGUCUGACGGAGCAACGCCGCGUGAGUGAUGAAGGCUUUCGGGUCGUAAAACUCUGUUGUUAGGGAAGAACAAGUGCUAGUUGAAUAAGCUGGCACCUUGACGGUACCUAACCAGAAAGCCACGGCUAACUACGUGCCAGCAGCCGCGGUAAUACGUAGGUGGCAAGCGUUAUCCGGAAUUAUUGGGCGUAAAGCGCGCGCAGGGGUUUCUUAAGUCUGAUGUGAAAGCCCACGGCUCAACCGUGGAGGGUCAUUGGAAACUGGGAGACUUGAGUGCAGAAGAGGAAAGUGGAAUUCCAUGUGUAGCGGUGAAAUGCGUAGAGAUAUGGAGGAACACCAGUGGCGAAGGCGACUUUCUGGUCUGUAACUGACACUGAGGCGCGAAAGCGUGGGGAGCAAACAGGAUU
Molecule: ribosomal RNA, 721 nt
Filed under: Bacillus cereus
Lineage: Bacteria; Bacillati; Bacillota; Bacilli; Caryophanales; Bacillaceae
Description: bacterial SSU rRNA
Rfam family: Bacterial small subunit ribosomal RNA
Source: RNAcentral